Molecule: ribosomal RNA, 207 nt
Filed under: uncultured bacterium
Lineage: Bacteria
Description: partial 16S ribosomal RNA
Rfam family: Bacterial small subunit ribosomal RNA
Source: RNAcentral
CGCGUAGGCGGCUUUUUAAGUCUGGGGUGAAAACCUGUGGCUCAACCACAGGCCUGCCCCAGAAACCGGAGAGCUUGAGGCCGUGAGAGGAAAGCGGAAUUCCUGGUGUAUCGGUGAAAUGAGUUGAUAUCAGGAGGAACACCGGUGGCGAAGGCGGCUUUCUGGUGCGGUUCUGACGCUGAGGUGCGAAAGCAUGGGGAGCAAACG